AAAGUCUCCUGAAGGAACGUUGAAGACGACGACGUUGAUAGGCCGGGUGUGUAAGCGCAGCGAUGCGUUGAGCUAACCGGUACUAAUGAACCGUGAGGCUUAACCUUAC
Molecule: ribosomal RNA, 109 nt
Filed under: Salmonella enterica subsp. enterica serovar Kentucky str. ATCC 9263
Lineage: Bacteria; Pseudomonadati; Pseudomonadota; Gammaproteobacteria; Enterobacterales; Enterobacteriaceae
Also listed under: 2 other names
Description: partial 23S ribosomal RNA
Rfam family: Bacterial large subunit ribosomal RNA
Source: RNAcentral